Long non-coding RNA from Vidua macroura (Pin-tailed whydah), 311 nucleotides. RefSeq lists it as uncharacterized. The record is from RefSeq and is a predicted model, not a curated record. NCBI's taxonomy places the organism in Eukaryota, Metazoa, Chordata, Aves, Passeriformes, Viduidae. The transcript is spliced from 3 exons.
UCUGUUGCCUCAUGAGGUACGUACUACUGAGCUACCUGCCAAACAAUCUUUCUGCUUCAAGGCUAUGUCUUUUCAAGGAAUAUUUGUAUCUGGGCAUUUCAUUCUUGUUUCAAAAGCUGAUUGCCAACAGCACAGAUUGACUUGGCCCAGUAUCCAAGAUUCCUAUCACUGAAGAAACUGUACAUAUUCCCUAGUAUAAGCAAGAACACUGAAAACUGAAAGGAAGAUUCUUCUGGACAGAGUUUUAUAGUCAUCACUGACUUUCUCUGAAUAUAUAAGCCUAAUUUUCUGAAGUUUUACAGAGAAAGAAA